UGGAACAGGCCUGCUCUGACCUGCAGGCUCUACUCUACCCUACCGUCCUGGAGGCUCCCAACUUCUCCUGGAGGGGCUUGUUUCUCUGUGUUUUGAGCAACUGCUGCUUCUACCUGAUCAUUGUAGGAACUGCCUAUUGAAAAAGCGCACAGUCAGACAGAGAGAGAUGGAUAAAAAAUGUAUUACCAUAUUACCAUUCCAUCACAGACUGAAUUAGAAACUUGUAGCAUUUGUUACUCACCUCCUCCCAAAGGAGACCUAAAGCAGAUUACAUCAUUGUCUUCUGUUUAUGUGUACAACAGGAUCUGUAAUUGCAAGGCCCGACCGCUAUCUUCCAUGUAUGCACUGAACUUUAAUCUUUAGUAAUAAAACUUACAUUAA
Sphaerodactylus townsendi is the source of this 381-nucleotide long non-coding RNA. RefSeq lists it as uncharacterized. The record is from RefSeq and is a predicted model, not a curated record. The transcript is spliced from 4 exons. NCBI's taxonomy places the organism in Eukaryota, Metazoa, Chordata, Lepidosauria, Squamata, Sphaerodactylidae.